RNAcentral lists this ribosomal RNA (497 nucleotides) under uncultured bacterium. RNAcentral's name for it is "partial 16S ribosomal RNA". It matches the Rfam family "Bacterial small subunit ribosomal RNA", at positions 28 to 507 of the family's 1533-position model. The record is from RNAcentral.
GAUGAACGCUGGCGGCGUGCCUAAUACAUGCAAGUCGAGCGAACAGACGAGGAGCUUGCUCCUCUGACGUUAGCGGCGGACGGGUGAGUAACACGUGGAUAACCUACCUAUAAGACUGGGAUAACUUCGGGAAACCGGAGCUAAUACCGGAUAAUAUAUUGAACCGCAUGGUUCAAUAGUGAAAUACGGUUUUGCUGUCACUUAUAGAUGGAUCCGCGCCGCAUUAGCUAGUUGGUAAGGUAACGGCUUACCAAGGCAACGAUGCGUAGCCGACCGGAGAGGGUGAGCGGCCACACUGGAACUGAGACACGGUCCAGACGCCCACGGGAGCCAGCCGUAGGGAAUCUUCCGGCAUGGGCGAAAGCCUGACGGAGCAACGCCGCGUGCGUGAUGAAGGUCUUCGGAUCGUAAAACUCUGUCAUUAGGGAAGAACAAAUGUGUAAGUAACUAUGCACGUCUUGACGGUACCUAAUCAGAAAGCCACGGCUAACUACGUG